GAUCGGCCCGCGUCUGAUUAGCUAGUUGGUGGGGUAAAGGCCCACCAAGGCGACGAUCGGUAGCUGUUCUGAGAGGAAGAUCAGCCACACUGGGACUGAGACACGGCCCACACUCCUACGGGAGGCAGCAGUUGGGAAUCUUGGACAAUGGGGGGAAACCCUGAUCCACCCAUGCCGCGUGAGUGAUGAAGGCCUUCGGGUUGUAAAACUCUUUCGACGGGGACGAUAAUGACCGUACCCGUAGAAGAAGCUCCGGCUGACUUCGUGCCAGCAGCCGCGGUAAUACGAAGGGGGCUAGCGUUGUUCGGAAUUACUGGGCGUAAAGCGUGCGCAGGCGGUCUUCCAAGUCAGUGGUGAAAGCCCGGAGCUCAACUCCGGAACUGCCAUUGAAACUGUGAGACUCGAGUACGAGAGAGGUGAGUGGAAUUCCCAGUGUAGAGGUGAGAUUCGUAGAUAUUGGGAAGAACACCGGUAGCGAAGGCCGCUCACUGGCUCGUAACUGACGCUCAGGCACGACAGCGUGGGGAUUAAACAGGAUUAGAUUCCCUGGUAGUCCACGCCGUAAACUUUUGGACCCUAGCCCGUUAGGCACCUUGCUUGCUUUAUGGCCCCAACUAACGCAAUUAGGCCGCCCCGCCCG
This 640-nucleotide ribosomal RNA is filed under the name uncultured Alphaproteobacteria bacterium. Its description in RNAcentral is "bacterial SSU rRNA". It matches the Rfam family "Bacterial small subunit ribosomal RNA", at positions 224 to 875 of the family's 1533-position model. Lineage: Bacteria; Pseudomonadati; Pseudomonadota; Alphaproteobacteria. The record is from RNAcentral.